GCUUACGGCCAUACCACCUGAACACGCCCGAUCUCGGAAGCUAAGCAGGGUCGGGCCUGGUUAGUACUUGGAUGGGAGACCGCCUGGGAAUACCAGGUGCUGUAAGCU
RNAcentral lists this ribosomal RNA (108 nucleotides) under Labrus bergylta (ballan wrasse). Lineage: Eukaryota; Metazoa; Chordata; Actinopteri; Labriformes; Labridae. The record is from RNAcentral.